AUGCUAAAAUUUCCUCAUAAAACAUUUAACGAUAAAACGGAAGCAAUUAUCAACAACUCAAUAACCCUCCUUAUCCUUCAAAUCCAUCAAUGAGAAAGAGUCACUAACCCCUCUCUUAUAGACAGCCCUAACGGAAAUACAUUUGAUAAGGAUACCGACAAAGUUACGAUAUGCGGAUAUCCCUGGACACGAACACCCUGAAGAAAGAGCAUAGAAGAAUAUAUGUAACAGCGUUCCUGGAGGGAAAACAACAACAGAUGAAAGAAGAAACACAACAUGGGAGUGGCGACGCAUUUUCCGGCGACAGCUGAUAGAGAGACAUCACAGCGGGCAGGUUGGCAGGCCGAAGGGACGAUUUACGCCGACAGAAACCAAUUCUACUACUGAGUUCCAUGAUAUGAAGGAACCCAAAGCAAAUGAGAAUGGAUAGAAAGCAAA
RNAcentral lists this long non-coding RNA (438 nucleotides) under Linum usitatissimum (flax). RNAcentral describes it as "long non-coding RNA (LUSI_LNC006851)". Lineage: Eukaryota; Viridiplantae; Streptophyta; Magnoliopsida; Malpighiales; Linaceae. The record is from RNAcentral.